RNAcentral lists this ribosomal RNA (466 nucleotides) under uncultured bacterium. Its description in RNAcentral is "partial 16S ribosomal RNA". It matches the Rfam family "Bacterial small subunit ribosomal RNA", at positions 28 to 508 of the family's 1533-position model. The record is from RNAcentral.
GACGAACGCUGGCGGCGUGCUUAACACAUGCAAGUCGAACGGAAAGGCCCUGCUUGCAGGGUACUCGAGUGGCGAACGGGUGAGUAACACGUGGGUGAUCUGCCCUGCACUUCGGGAUAAGCCUGGGAAACUGGGUCUAAUACCGGAUAGGAGCCAUUUUUAGUGUGAUGGUUGGAAAGUUUUUUCGGUGUAGGAUGAGCUCGCGGCCUAUCAGCUUGUUGGUGGGGUAAUGGCCUACCAAGGCGGCGACGGGUAGCCGGCAUGAGAGGGUGGACGGCCACAUUGGGACUGAGAUACGGCACAGACUCCUACGGGAGGCAGCAAUGGGGAAUAUUGCACAAUGGGCGCAAGCCUGAUGCAGCGACGCCGCGUGGGGGAUGACGGCCUUCGGGUUGUAAACUCCUUUCGCUAGGGACGAAGCUUUUUGUGACGGUACCUAGAUAAGAAGCACCGGCUAACUACGUGC